Molecule: ribosomal RNA, 778 nt
Filed under: uncultured bacterium
Lineage: Bacteria
Description: bacterial SSU rRNA
Rfam family: Bacterial small subunit ribosomal RNA
Source: RNAcentral
UACCUUUGCCGGCGACCGGCGCACGGGUGAGUAACACGUAUGCAAUCCACCUGUAACAGGGGGAUAACCCGGAGAAAUCCGGACUAAUACCCCAUAAUAUGGGCGCUCCGCAUGGAGAGCCCAUUAAAGAGAGCAAUUUUGGUUACAGACGAGCAUGCGCUCCAUUAGCCAGUUGGCGGGGUAACGGCCCACCAAGGCGACGAUGGAUAGGGGUUCUGAGAGGAAGGUCCCCCACAUUGGAACUGAGACACGGUCCAAACUCCUACGGGAGGCAGCAGUGAGGAAUAUUGGUCAAUGGUCGGCAGACUGAACCAGCCAAGUCGCGUGAGGGAAGACGGCCCUACGGGCUGUAAACCUCUUUUGUCGGAGAGUAAAGUACGCUACGCGUAGCGUAUUGCAAGUAUCCGAAGAAAAAGCAUCGGCUAACUCCGUGCCAGCAGCCGCGGUAAUACGGAGGAUGCGAGCGUUAUCCGGAUUUAUUGGGUUUAAAGGGUGCGUAGGCGGCACGCCAAGUCAGCGGUGAAAUUUCCGGGCUCAACCCGGAGUGUGCCGUUGAAACUGGCGAGCUAGAGUGCACAAGAGGCAGGCGGAAUGCGUGGUGUAGCGGUGAAAUGCAUAGAUAUCACGCAGAGCCCCGAUUGCGAAGGCAGCCUGCUAGGGUGCGACAGACGCUGAGGCACGAAAGCGUGGGUAUCGAACAGGAUUAGAUACCCUGGUAGUCCACGCAGUAAACGAUGAAUACUAACUGUUUGCGAUACAAUGUAAGCGGUACAGCGAA